AUCCAGCUGAUGAGUGCGAAAUAGGACGAAACACGCGUCCUGGAU
RNAcentral lists this non-coding RNA (45 nucleotides) under Schistosoma mattheei. Lineage: Eukaryota; Metazoa; Platyhelminthes; Trematoda; Strigeidida; Schistosomatidae. The record is from RNAcentral.